Molecule: long non-coding RNA, 474 nt
Organism: Astyanax mexicanus (Mexican tetra)
Lineage: Eukaryota; Metazoa; Chordata; Actinopteri; Characiformes; Acestrorhamphidae
Exons: 5
Source: RefSeq, a predicted model, not a curated record
GAAUUAUAGACAGGCAGAAAGACAGACAGAUUGAAAGAUAGGCAGGCAGAUGGAACGAUAGACAGUUGGAAUUACAGACAGGCAGAAAGACAGACAGAUGGACAGAUAGGCAGGCAGAUGGAAAGAUAGACAGUUGGAAUUACAGACAGGUGGAAAGAUAGGCAGGCAGAUGGAAAGAUAGACAGUUGGAAUUACAGACAGGCAGAAAGACAGACAGAUUGAAAGAUAGGCAGGCAGAUGGAACGAUAGACAGUUGGAAUUACAGACAGGCAGAAAGACAGACAGAUUGAAAGAUAGGCAGGCAGAUGGAAAGAUAGACAGUUGGAAUUAUAGACAGGCAGAAAGACAGACAGAUUGAAAGAUAGGCAGGCAGAUGGAAAGAUAGACAGUUGGAAUUACAGACAGGCAGAAAGACAGACAGAUUGAAAGAUAGGCAGGCAGAUGGAACGAUAGACAGUUGGAAUUACAGAAAGG